CUACGUGCCAGCAGCCGCGGUAAUACGUAGGUGGCAAGCGUUGUCCGGAAUUAUUGGGCGUAAAGCGCGCGCAGGCGGAUUGGUCAGUCUGUCUUAAAAGUUCGGGGCUUAACCCCGUGAUGGGAUGGAAACUGCCAAUCUAGAGUAUCGGAGAGGAAAGUGGAAUUCCUAGUGUAGCGGUGAAAUGCGUAGAUAUUAGGAAGAACACCAGUGGCGAAGGCGACUUUCUGGACGAAAACUGACGCUGAGGCGCGAAAGCCAGGGGAGCGAACGGGAUUAGAUACCCCGGUAGUCCUGGCCGUAAACGAUGGGUACUAGGUGUAGGAGGUAUCGACCCCUUCUGUGCCGGAGUUAACGCAAUAAGUACUCCGCCUGGGGAGUACGACCGCAAGGUUGAAACUCAAAGGAAUUGACGGGGGCCCGCACAAGCGGUGGAGUAUGUGGUUUAAUUCGACGCAACGCGAAGAACCUUACCAGGUCUU
Molecule: ribosomal RNA, 482 nt
Filed under: uncultured bacterium
Lineage: Bacteria
Description: bacterial SSU rRNA
Rfam family: Bacterial small subunit ribosomal RNA
Source: RNAcentral